This is a long non-coding RNA of Homo sapiens (human), 735 nucleotides long. NCBI's taxonomy places the organism in Eukaryota, Metazoa, Chordata, Mammalia, Primates, Hominidae. The record is from Ensembl.
CACUGCCAGCAGACGCGAGUGAGGGAUGGGGGCGCCUGAUAGCCCACAUCUCCAGGAGCAGAUUGUAAGCGUAAUCUCAAGGAUUCAUCCGCAGGGAGGAUCUGGGCAAGAACAAAAGCCCAGAAGUUUCUGUUUGUGUGGCAAGAUACAGAAACAGUGUGGGCUGAGAAGCAGAGGGGCAGGUCCUGCCUUUCGUGUAGCAAAAUGACAAUUACCCCAUCUUUCAGCAGGCUGUGCAGGAAGAGCUGCUACCCUUUCCUGUUUCCUGAGGACAUUUCAACAUGACUUCGAGCACAGUUAAAGUGAACUGCCAAGGUUAAGCGAGCUUUCCUUCCUUACGGAAUCUCCCAGCCCCUAAUUCUAUAAUACUACUCGCUUAGUUUGGCUGUGGUGAAACCCACCUUGUCCUCUACUAAAGAUAUGGAACGAAGACCUCGUCAGUCAAUCUUCCAUGAUCCCGGCCACCGCAAUUGGCUCAGGUCGUUGCUGCCAUGAAGUAAGAGUCUGUCUGGAAAUGAAGGCGAGCAGAGGCCACAAAGCUGAGACAUGGAGACAGAGAGAGUCCUGAUGUUAUUAUUUGAACCAUUGAGUCCAGCUGUGCCUGAAACUCUUCAGUGAGCCAAGAAAUUCCUUUUUGGCUUAAGCCAAUUGGAGUCGUGUUUGUGAUACUUGCAAAUGAAAGGAGUUAUUGACUAAUAAAACUGCCAUUUCUAUCUCUCCAAGAAUUAGGAAAUA